This 501-nucleotide ribosomal RNA is filed under the name uncultured bacterium. Its description in RNAcentral is "bacterial SSU rRNA". It matches the Rfam family "Bacterial small subunit ribosomal RNA", at positions 8 to 507 of the family's 1533-position model. The record is from RNAcentral.
AGAGUUUGAUCCUGGCUCAGAUUGAACGCUGGCGGCAUGCCUUACACAUGCAAGUCGAACGGCAGCGGGCCUUCGGGUGCCGGCGAGUGACGAACGGGUGAGUAAUGCAUCGGAACGUGCCAUUGAGUGGGGAUAACGUAGCGAAAGUUACGCUAAUACCGCAUAUUCUGUGAGCAGGAAAGCAGGGGACCGCAAGGCCUUGCGCUCUUUGGGCGGCCGAUGUCAGAUUAGCUAGUUGGUGAGGUAAAGGCUUACCAAGGCGACGAUCUGUAGCGGGUCUGAGAGGAUGAUCCGCCACACUGGAACUGAGACACGGUCCAGACUCCUACGGGAGGCAGCAGUGGGGAAUUUUGGACAAUGGGCGCAAGCCUGAUCCAGCCAUGCCGCGUGAGUGAAGAAGGCCUUCGGGUUGUAAAGCUCUUUCGGCCGGGAAGAAAUCGCAUGGGUUAAUACCCUGUGUGGAUGACGGUACCGGAAUAAGAAGCACCGGCUAACUACGUG